GGCAUUAUCCAGGGGUGCAAUUUAUUGCUGAGAGAGCUUGAUGUUCAACCCUUUGAACCUGAUCUGGUUAAUUCCAGCGGAGGGAGGAAAGCAUGGUUCGUU
RNAcentral lists this non-coding RNA (102 nucleotides) under Alphaproteobacteria bacterium. RNAcentral's name for it is "TPP sequence". It matches the Rfam family "TPP riboswitch aptamer (THI element)". From Rfam's summary of the family: Vitamin B(1) in its active form thiamin pyrophosphate (TPP) is an essential coenzyme that is synthesised by coupling of pyrimidine and thiazole moieties in bacteria. The previously detected thiamin-regulatory element, thi box was extended, resulting in a new, highly conserved RNA secondary structure, the THI element, which is widely distributed in eubacteria and also occurs in some archaea. Lineage: Bacteria; Pseudomonadati; Pseudomonadota; Alphaproteobacteria. The record is from RNAcentral.